This 253-nucleotide ribosomal RNA is filed under the name uncultured bacterium. RNAcentral's name for it is "partial 16S ribosomal RNA". It matches the Rfam family "Bacterial small subunit ribosomal RNA", at positions 524 to 776 of the family's 1533-position model. The record is from RNAcentral.
UACAGAGGUGGCGAGCGUUGUUCGGAUUUACUGGGCGUAAAGGGUGCGUAGGUGGUUGCGUGUGUCGGGCGUGAAAUCCCACUGCUCAACGGUGGAACGCCGUCCGAAACUACGUGACUAGAGUGCAGGAGAGGAGAGCGGAAUUCUUGGUGUAGCGGUGGAAUGCGUUGAUAUCAAGAGGAACACCAGUGGCGUAGGCGGCUCUCUGGAAUGCAACUGACACUGAGGCACGAAAGCGUGGGGAGCAAACAGG